GGGCCCGUAGCUCAGCUAGGUAGAGCAUCCGGCUUUUAACCGGGUGGUCCGGGGUUCGAAUCCCCGCGGGCCCG
RNAcentral lists this transfer RNA (74 nucleotides) under Thermoplasmata archaeon. RNAcentral describes it as "tRNA-Lys". It matches the Rfam family "tRNA". Rfam says of the family: Transfer RNA (tRNA) molecules are approximately 80 nucleotides in length. Their secondary structure includes four short double-helical elements and three loops (D, anti-codon, and T loops). The record is from RNAcentral. Lineage: Archaea; Methanobacteriati; Thermoplasmatota; Thermoplasmata.